Molecule: ribosomal RNA, 387 nt
Filed under: Papiliocellulus sp.
Lineage: Eukaryota; Bacillariophyta; Thalassiosirophyceae; Cymatosirales; Cymatosiraceae
Description: partial small subunit ribosomal RNA
Rfam family: Eukaryotic small subunit ribosomal RNA
Source: RNAcentral
AGCUCCAAUAGCGUAUAUUAAAGUUGUUGCAGUUAAAAAGCUCGUAGUUGGAUUUCUGGUGGGAGCGACCGGUCCGGCGCUUAGCGCGGGUACUUGCGUCGUCUCCGGCCAUCCUUGGGGAGAGUUUGUCUGGCAUUAAGUUGUCGGGCAGAGGAUCCUCAUCGUUUACUGUGAAAAAAUUAGAGUGUUCAAAGCAGGCUUAUGCCGUUGAAUAUAUUAGCAUGGAAUAAUAAGAUAGGACUUUGGUACUAUUUUGUUGGUUUGCGCACCAAAGUAAUGAUUAAUAGGGACAGUUGGGGGUAUUCGUAUUCCGUUGUCAGAGGUGAAAUUCUUGGAUUUACGGAAGACGAACUACUGCGAAAGCAUUUACCAAGGAUGUUUUCAUUA